GACGAACGCUGGCGGCGUGCCUAAUACAUGCAAGUAGAACGCUGAAGGAGGAGCUUGCUUCUCUGGAUGAGUUGCGAACGGGUGAGUAACGCGUAGGUAACCUGCCUGGUAGCGGGGGAUAACUAUUGGAAACGAUAGCUAAUACCGCAUAAGAGUAGAUGUUGCAUGACAUUUGCUUAAAAGGUGCAAUUGCAUCACUACCAGAUGGACCUGCGUUGUAUUAGCUAGUUGGUGGGGUAACGGCUUACCAAGGCGACGAUACAUAGCCGACCUGAGAGGGUGAUCGGCCACACUGGGACUGAGACACGGCCCAGACUCCUACGGGAGGAAGCAGUAGGGAAUCUUCGGCAAUGGACGGAAGUCUGACCGAGCAACGCCGCGUGAGUGAAGAAGGUUGUCGGAUCGUAAAGCUCUGUUGUAAGAGAAGAACGAGUGUGAGAGUGGAAAGUUCACACUGUGACGGUAUCUGACCAGAAAGGGACGGCUAACUACGUG
RNAcentral lists this ribosomal RNA (495 nucleotides) under uncultured bacterium. Its description in RNAcentral is "partial 16S ribosomal RNA". It matches the Rfam family "Bacterial small subunit ribosomal RNA", at positions 28 to 507 of the family's 1533-position model. The record is from RNAcentral.